Long non-coding RNA from Astyanax mexicanus (Mexican tetra), 242 nucleotides. RefSeq lists it as uncharacterized. The record is from RefSeq and is a predicted model, not a curated record. NCBI's taxonomy places the organism in Eukaryota, Metazoa, Chordata, Actinopteri, Characiformes, Acestrorhamphidae. The transcript has 3 exons.
UGAUGGGCUCUGGAUGGUUCAGGCGUGUCUGGAGGAGGGGCAGGUGUUGGAGCAGCUGUUCCCGGGCCCUGGGAACCUCUGCCAGGCAGUGUUCAUAAUGGUCCCAGCAGCAUUGGCUUUGAUCUCCAGGUCUUCAUCACUUAGCAACUGGACCAAAACAGGUGGACUUGUGCAGACACCUCACCCCUUCCUCUGAGUGCAUUGUGAAUGAACUCUGCUCCAGUGUUGAAGUUGACGCUCAU